CAGUCGCCGCGGGAACACGAAGGGGGCUAGCGUUGCUCGGAAUCACUGGGCGUAAAGGGUGCGUAGGCGGGUCUUUAAGUCAGGGGUGAAAUCCUGGAGCUCAACUCCAGAACUGCCUUUGAUACUGAAGAUCUUGAGUUCGGGAGAGGUGAGUGGAACUGCGAGUGUAGAGGUGAAAUUCGUAGAUAUUCGCAAGAACACCAGUGGCGAAGGCGGCUCACUGGCCCGAUACUGACGCUGAGGCACGAAAGCGUGGGGAGCAAACAGGAUUAGAUACCCGAGUAGUCCCUGUCCCUUAUAC
This 301-nucleotide ribosomal RNA is filed under the name uncultured bacterium. Its description in RNAcentral is "partial 16S ribosomal RNA". It matches the Rfam family "Bacterial small subunit ribosomal RNA", at positions 509 to 807 of the family's 1533-position model. The record is from RNAcentral.